GCUUGGCCAUCUCACAUGCAUGUCCCUCUUGUGGUACUAACCUUAUCUGUCUAAUGCUCCUUUACAGGGAAGCUUGAUGCUGCUGGGCAGCUGGACUCGUACUGAGUGCAGUAUGGCCAUAUUUGUGGAAGACUGAGACAUGCAAUCUGAUUAGUGCUGAAAAUACCAGUUUUCUGAGCCACAGGGCACAAAAUUCAAGCAGUUGUUGUAUCUUCCUUCGUCUCUCUCCUUGUGUCAUCUUAGCUAAAAUACAAUCUGCAGCGAGAGACCAAAUUCCAUCAGGUGAAUAACUUGGCUGAUUGUGCUGUUCCUUGGUCCAAAGGUGGCCACCAGGUAGGUCUGUCCAUUGGUGGCUGACAGGUUAGCAAAAAUGACUGACCAGACAGUCUGCAAACCGGACCCAGGAUUUCUGGAGGAAAAGUGAUGUGGCAGAGCACCAUGACCCCUUCUGCUCCAAUUGGCAGUUUGUAAACAGCUGCAAUAUAGAGACAACGACUAAUCAUUUUAACACCAAUGCGUCAGAUGCUGCUUGAGACCACUGGGUGGGCGCUGGAGCUCCUAUCACUUUUGUAGCUUCCCUUCAGACAGGAUGAAUUCAACCCACUGCAGAGGGAAAGGGCAUCAUUUCCACAGAAUAAGUGAGACGUCUGAAUCAUAGGCAAUUGCUCUGCUUGUCUUGUGCACUGCCAGUGUCCCAGUUCACAUAACUGGGAAAGAUCCAGAAGGAAUCAAUU
This 734-nucleotide long non-coding RNA is filed under the name Coturnix japonica (Japanese quail). RNAcentral's name for it is "lncRNA (ENSCJPG00005009451.1)". Lineage: Eukaryota; Metazoa; Chordata; Aves; Galliformes; Phasianidae. The record is from RNAcentral.